RNAcentral lists this unclassified non-coding RNA (253 nucleotides) under uncultured Tepidisphaerales bacterium. Its description in RNAcentral is "contains 16S-23S intergenic spacer region". It matches the Rfam family "Bacterial small subunit ribosomal RNA", at positions 524 to 776 of the family's 1533-position model. The record is from RNAcentral. Lineage: Bacteria; Pseudomonadati; Planctomycetota; Phycisphaerae; Tepidisphaerales.
GACAGAGGUGCCGAGCGUUAGGCGGAAUCACUGGGCUUAAAGCGUGUGUAGGCGGAUCUCUAAGUACCUUGUGAAAUCCCACGGCUCAACCGUGGAACUGCUGGGUAUACUGGGGGUCUUGAGCCGUCCAGGGGCAACCGGAACAAAUGGUGGAGCGGUGAAAUGCGUAGAUAUCAUUUGGAACGCCGAUGGCGAAAGCAGGUUGCUGGGGACGCGCUGACGCUGAGACACGAAAGCCAGGGGAGCAAACGGG